CGGGGUGCACCAGGCGCGAAAACUUUACAAUGCGGGAAACCGUGAUAAGGGAACUCCGAGUGCCCGUUAAAUCGGGCUGUCCAUCAGUUUAAAAAACUGGUGAAGAAAGGGCCGGGCAAGACCGGUGCCAGCCGCCGCGGUAAUACCGGCGGCUCGAGUGGUGGCCACUAUUACUGGGCUUAAAGCGUUCGUAGCUGGUUUGUUAAGUCUCUGGGGAAAUCUUCCGGCUUAACCGGAAGGCGUCUCAGGGAUACUGGCAGACUAGGGACCGGAAGAGGUGAGGGGUACUCCAGGGGUAGGAGUGAAAUCCUGUAAUCCUUGGGGGACCACCUGUGGCGAAGGCGCCUCACCAGGACGGCUCCGACAGUGAGGGACGAAAGCUGGGGGAGCAAACCGGAUUAGAUACCCGGGUAGUCCCAGCCGUAAACGAUGUGCGUUAGGUGUAUCGGUGACCACGAGUCACCGAGGUGCCGAAGAGAAAUCGUGAAACGUACCGCCAGGGAAGUACGGUCGCAAGGCUGAAACUUAAAGGAAUUGGC
Molecule: ribosomal RNA, 539 nt
Filed under: uncultured archaeon
Lineage: Archaea
Description: bacterial SSU rRNA
Rfam family: Archaeal small subunit ribosomal RNA
Source: RNAcentral